ACUUCCUGGGUCUUCUACCUUUGGAGGAAGUGUCCUCUGUAAAAUCACGCUGCAAUCCCCUUGUUUCCCAGUUGUGUCCUCUUUUAAAUUUUUCUUUUUGAGGAGUUUCUUCAAAAAUUCUUUAUAUUCAGGGAUCUGGUGCGGGCCUUUGUCACAGGGAUUUCUAUCCCUAAUUCUUUGGAGAUCUCUUCAAAACAUCCUGCUUGUAUUUCUUUUGUGGCAUGUUCCUCAGGGUGGUGGACAUUUUUCUCAUAUUUUUUAUUUUUUUCUUUUUCUUCUUUUUUUCUCUCAAGCUCUUCUUUUUUUCUCAAUCUCUCUUUUUUCAUCACUCUCAAAAUUUUUCUUUUUCUUCUUCUCUCUCUAAAUCACUCAAUCUUUCUUCUUCUCUUUUUCCUUUCUCACUCUCUUUUUCUUCUCCAUCUUUUUUUCACUCAUUUUCCAUGCUUGCUAUAGCC
RNAcentral lists this long non-coding RNA (455 nucleotides) under Vigna radiata. RNAcentral describes it as "long non-coding RNA (VRAD_LNC011456)". The record is from RNAcentral. Lineage: Eukaryota; Viridiplantae; Streptophyta; Magnoliopsida; Fabales; Fabaceae.